This 403-nucleotide ribosomal RNA is filed under the name Verrucomicrobiota bacterium. Its description in RNAcentral is "Verrucomicrobia bacterium partial 16S ribosomal RNA". It matches the Rfam family "Bacterial small subunit ribosomal RNA", at positions 355 to 776 of the family's 1533-position model. The record is from RNAcentral. Lineage: Bacteria; Pseudomonadati; Verrucomicrobiota.
UGGGGUAUAUUGCACAAUGGAGGGAACUCUGAUGCAGCGACGCCGCGUGAACGAAGAAGGCUUUCGUGUCGUAAAGUUCUUUUAUAUGGGAAGAUAAUGACGGUACCAUAAGAAAAAGCCCCGGCUAACUACGUGCCAGCAGCCGCGGUAAUACGUAGGGGGCUAGCGUUGUCCGGAAUCACUGGGCGUAAAGGGUUCGCAGGCGGAAAUGCAAGUCAGGUGUAAAAGGCAGUAGCUUAACUACUGUAAGCAUUUGAAACUGCAUAUCUUGAGAAGAGUAGAGGUAAGUGGAAUUUUUAGUGUAGCGGUGAAAUGCGUAGAUAUUAAAAAGAAUACCGGUGGCGAAGGCGACUUGCUGGGCACAAUCUGACGCUGAGGAACGAAAGCGUGGGGAGCAAACAGG